AGCAUGUGAGUUUUGAGGAAACACAAACAUUGGUCCAUAAUACAUAUCCUUAAAGAUAUUCUCCUGCUCUGACUGCUUUCAUAGGCUCUCAGGAGUUCAGGCAUAAUAUGCACAAAAAAGCAGGCAAACUCUGCUUAUGCAUAGAAUAAUAAAGUUUGUGCAUUGAACUCAAAAGCUUAAGGAAGACUUGGUUUAAAGAUUUAUAAUCUUAAUAAAUUGAAUGUAGUUGACCUGUAAACAACAUGGGUUUAAACUGCAUGAGUCACUUAUGCAUGGAUUUUCUUCUGCUUCUGCCACCCCGGGAACAGCAAGACCAACCCUUCCUCUUCCUCCUCUCCUCAGCCUACUCGGUGUGAAGACAAUGAGGAUGAAGACCUUUACGAUGAUACACUUCCACUUAAUAACCAGCUAUACAGGAAACAUGACUGGAGAGGCUUCAGGAAACUUACAGUCAUGGUGAAAGGGUGAAUGAGAAGCAACCAUGUCUUCACGUGGCGGCAGGACAGAGAGAGAGCAAAAGGGGAAGUGCUACACACUUUCAAACAAUCAGAUCUCAUGAG
Long non-coding RNA from Homo sapiens (human), 560 nucleotides. The record is from Ensembl. Lineage: Eukaryota; Metazoa; Chordata; Mammalia; Primates; Hominidae.